This 253-nucleotide ribosomal RNA is filed under the name uncultured bacterium. RNAcentral's name for it is "partial 16S ribosomal RNA". It matches the Rfam family "Bacterial small subunit ribosomal RNA", at positions 524 to 776 of the family's 1533-position model. The record is from RNAcentral.
GACAGAGGGUGCAAACGUUGUUCGGAAUUACUGGGCGUAAAGCGCGCGUAGGCGGCUUUGCAAGUCGGGUGUGAAAUCCCCAGGCUUAACCUGGGAACUGCAUUCGAGACUGCAUUGCUAGAGUAUGGGAGAGGGAAGUGGAAUUUCAGGUGUAGCGGUGAAAUGCGUAGAUAUCUGAAGGAACAUCAGUGGCGAAAGCGACUUCCUGGACCAAUACUGACGCUCAUGUGCGAAAGCGUGGGGAGCAAACAGG